Molecule: long non-coding RNA, 398 nt
Organism: Dromiciops gliroides (monito del monte)
Lineage: Eukaryota; Metazoa; Chordata; Mammalia; Microbiotheria; Microbiotheriidae
Exons: 3
Source: RefSeq, a predicted model, not a curated record
ACAGAAAAAGGACCUGCUUAGAAGAGAUAGACACCCCCCUGGAGUGUCUACAAUGCUAUAUAUGGAUCAUUCUAUUUGUAUACAGUCAUUUCCCUCUAAUUGGAAAAUUUGAAUCUGACUCUGAACACCAGCACUCACUAAUGAUAAUGACAAUGCAGAGGUUUCUUUCUGAAGCUCCUGCCUGCCACGAGGAGUCUUGAAGAUGUGCAGAGAGAAGGGGGAAAGAUUCCCAAAGCAUUGUGAGACAUCGGAUUAGACGACAGAUAGACUGUCUAAGGAGACAUCCCCCAGUCUCAGCAACCUGAUUAGCCCCGAAACCCUAGUAUGGCCUGGGUAUCCUGUUCCUCUCUCCAGAGGUGUCAGACGUUCAAUCUUCACAUGUGAACCACAACACUCUC